CAGUAGCCGCGGUAAUACGGAGGGAGCUAGCGUUGUUCGGAAUUACUGGGCGUAAAGCGCGCGUAGGCGGUUACUCAAGUCAGAGGUGAAAGCCCGGGGCUCAACCCCGGAACUGCCUUUGAAACUAGGUGACUAGAAUCUUGGAGAGGUCAGUGGAAUUCCGAGUGUAGAGGUGAAAUUCGUAGAUAUUCGGAAGAACACCAGUGGCCAAGGCGACUGACUGGACAAGUAUUGACGCUGAGGUGCGAAAGCGUGGGGAGCAAACGGGAUUAGAUACCCCUGUAGUCCCUGUCUCUUAUAA
RNAcentral lists this ribosomal RNA (301 nucleotides) under uncultured bacterium. RNAcentral's name for it is "partial 16S ribosomal RNA". It matches the Rfam family "Bacterial small subunit ribosomal RNA", at positions 509 to 809 of the family's 1533-position model. The record is from RNAcentral.